CAGUAGCCGCGGUAAUACGGAGGGUGCGAGCGUUAAUCGGAAUUACUGGGCGUAAAGCGCACGCAGGCGGUUUGUUAAGUCAGAUGUGAAAUCCCCGAGCUUAACUUGGGAACUGCAUUUGAAACUGGCAAGCUAGAGUCCUGUAGAGGGGGGUAGAAUUCAGGUGUAGCGGUGAAAUGCGUAGAGAUCUGGAGGAAUACCGGUGGCGAAGGCGGCCCCCUGGACAAAGACUGACGCUCAGGUGCGAAGGCGUGGGGAGCAAACAGGAUUAGAUACCCCUGUAGUCCCUGUCUCUUAUACA
This 301-nucleotide ribosomal RNA is filed under the name uncultured bacterium. RNAcentral describes it as "partial 16S ribosomal RNA". It matches the Rfam family "Bacterial small subunit ribosomal RNA", at positions 509 to 808 of the family's 1533-position model. The record is from RNAcentral.